GGCGGGUCUCCCCGCAUUGUGGUGCAGCAAACCUGGUCAGGUCCGGAAGGAAGCAGCCAUAGCUGAUUACCGCAAGUGCCGGGGGUAAGGCUCGCCUCC
This is a non-coding RNA of Gallionellales bacterium GWA2_59_43, 99 nucleotides long. NCBI's taxonomy places the organism in Bacteria, Pseudomonadati, Pseudomonadota, Betaproteobacteria, Nitrosomonadales. The record is from Rfam.